This 66-nucleotide transfer RNA is filed under the name Acanthoparyphium sp. WAK-2018. Its description in RNAcentral is "tRNA-Met". Lineage: Eukaryota; Metazoa; Platyhelminthes; Trematoda; Plagiorchiida; Himasthlidae. The record is from RNAcentral.
GGGGGUGUAAGUUAAAUUUAAACUGUGUGGUUCAUGUUCACACAAUAUGAUAUUUCGUUUCCCCCU